This 236-nucleotide long non-coding RNA is filed under the name Ananas comosus (pineapple). RNAcentral describes it as "long non-coding RNA (ACOM_LNC034982)". The record is from RNAcentral. Lineage: Eukaryota; Viridiplantae; Streptophyta; Magnoliopsida; Poales; Bromeliaceae.
GGUUAAUGGAGAAUACCGAUGUGAAAAUCCGAAUUUGCAAAAUUAUUUAAGGAAAACAGUAGAAUUACUGUGUAAUUUUGGAGAAGCUGAGUUUGAACAUAUGAGCAGGCAGAAAAAUGAAAAAGCAAAUGAACUAGCUCAGUCGGCUUUAGGAUAUAGAAAGCCGAAAUCAAAAUCAAUAGUAAUACAGAGAAGGCUAUUACCUUCGGUUCAUGUACGAGAGACGAUUAUAGCUC